AGGCGUCUGUCUGCCAGACGGCUGUUGCAGGGAGUUCGGGCGGGCUCCGCUGAGCCGCUGAGGUGAGGGGACGGCGAGAAGGCGGGAAGGUAAAAGCUGGGAGAAGCAACAGGAGUGGCUGUACAGAGAGCCCCAAAGAGAGCUUCACAUCCCUAUCCAGGACCUGCUUACAACGUCACGUCAGAAAUGGAUUCUGCUUAUCCUGACAUUUCAUUUCUGUGAGGGAAGGCUUUCA
RNAcentral lists this long non-coding RNA (235 nucleotides) under Chrysolophus pictus (golden pheasant). RNAcentral describes it as "lncRNA (ENSCPIG00010008099.1)". Lineage: Eukaryota; Metazoa; Chordata; Aves; Galliformes; Phasianidae. The record is from RNAcentral.